RNAcentral lists this long non-coding RNA (1665 nucleotides) under Bos indicus x Bos taurus (hybrid cattle). Its description in RNAcentral is "lncRNA (ENSBIXG00000013059.1)". Lineage: Eukaryota; Metazoa; Chordata; Mammalia; Artiodactyla; Bovidae. The record is from RNAcentral.
GAGGAGUCUUUUCAAGGUUGGAAUUGAAUUCCUCCUUUCACAAUCACUUGUACUCCCCCUAUCACGCGUCCUCCCCAAUUUUGGACUUGAGAUAACGGUACAGACCUGUAUCUCCUGAAAAAAAAACAAAAAAAAACUAUUUUUUUUUUUCUGGUACCCAGUGACAUCGAAGUUUCCUGUGCUGCUCAAACACAUUCGUGCCUCACUGCAUCAGUCUGUCUAAACAGGCCGGGGCGCUGAUGGACUACAGAAUCUUUUCGAUUCAUCCUGGAGAACUGGGCAGAGGACCGAGCAGGAAAAUGGACCCAAGAACCUCGUCCAUCCAGCAGCCAUGCCAGAAGCACCAACUAAAUCUAAAAACCACAGAUUCAAUUAACUAAUCCUCUUCCUAGAAGUGCCAAGAAGAAAUAAUCUUGUCACUAUCCCCUUUGCCAUGAGCCCCGAUCCAAAGCUCAAUAUGCUUUUGAUUUUCCUAGAGUCUUCAAAAAAAAAAAAAAACCAGAAAUGUUAUUUCAGGGCCACUCCCUGUUUUCCACAUUCUUGACAGAGGCAAUAAGGUGGAGGAGAAACCAGCCCAGCAUCAAAGAAGAACCCCCAUCUGUUCCAAUAGAGACACGACUGGAUAGACCAUCAACACAGAUUGUUCUUGUCUGCGGCUCCUCUGGAACUGUUGUUGCUCUUCUUCCAUCUCUAAGUUGUGUCCAAGUCUUUGUGACCCCAUGAACUGCAGCAUGGCAGGCUUCUUUGUCUCCCUGUAUUUCCUAGAGUUUGCUCAAAUUCACGUCCGUUGAGUUGGUGAUGCUAUCUAACCAUCUCAUCCUCGGUCACCCCCUUCUCCUCCGGCCCUCAAUCUUUCCCAGUGUCAGGGUGUUUUCCCAAUGAGUCAGCUCUUCGCAUCAGGUGGCAUAGGUGGCCUCUUUGACUGUGGACCCCACUUAAACAUUUCCCCUGCACAUUUUGAAUGACUCAGGAUAAAGCUAGUCAGAGGGAGUCAAAGGCAGAACUCUCCCAGGAAGUGGGCAGGUAGGGCCAGCCCUGCUUCCCCAGGAAAGCCCUGGGGAAGGACCUGUGGGCACAGCCACAUGUCCCUCUAAGGAUGACUAUUUUGUGUAGAACAUUUCUUCCAGCACAAGGCAGGUCAGGAGCCCCAGCCUGCACAACUCCAGGUCUGUCUGCCACUCCCUGGCAGCACCUCGGGCCCUCGGCUCCCUGCUCUCCACUAUUUCUUCCAUGAACUUUAACUACGCUUGGGCAGAUCCGUGAGAAUGAAUCAAGAACCAAACAGACAAGGACCUGCAUUCAAAGCAAAGGCUGACGCUCCUGGGGCCGGAGUCCAUGAGGAAACUUGCUUCUGCGCCUCAUUUUUCAUUUUCUAACAGCCCGUCUCCUCCAGUUUCCACAUCCCAGGUGGAGCCAGGGACAAGAACAUUCCAGUGUCCAAGCCGCGAUGCUGGAGGGAAACGAGACCUGGUGGCAGACCCCUCCCCACCUCGGACUCUGGGCCCUCCCCUGAUUGCUCAGCGUUAAGGGUGAGAGGCAGGAGGUUGACCCCUCAUGCCUCCACCCUCAGGAGAAUGGAGUUGAAGCUACCGGUGUUCUUCCAGCAUAGCCGAUGACCAGCAAGGAGGGCCCUGCAGAGACCCAGCUGUGCGGGGUGCUUCCUAU